AUUUGUUCUUAAAUAAAUCAUUUUCCUACCUGCAAGCUGUGUCCGCACUACACGGCGGGGUCGUUCUCCCUGGAUGCAGAACGGACAACUCCGGACAAAGCGUGAAGUUGAUCCUGCGGUACUUCCUGUGCCAGAGUGCAGUUGGCAAGUUCUGGCAUCCCUGGUAUUCCCGCCGCAUCUCGCUGGCCGUUAGCGGCGGUGUGGCGUUGCAGGGUGCUCCAGCCAGGGUGACGUUGAGAAGGCCGGCCCAAGGGUCCAACAAUUGGGACGCACCAGUGCUCUGCAAAUCAGGUACUCUGAUGGAAGCUAAGGCCUUCAGAUUAACUUGAUAGGUUUGGGUCACCAAAGAACAUCUUACCAGAGAUGAGGACAGCAUGAUCGCAGCUCACAGCUGGAGAUGGGAAGACUUGGGGAACCCAUGGGCACCGGCUGAGGACACCUGGCAAAUUCUGCAUGAUCUGUUGAAAGAAAGGGUACAAAAUAUCUUAUAAGGAACUAUUUCUAUUCCCUACUGUAACACACGACAUCAGGGUCAGCAGUGUCCAAACUCACCAACACAUCUGAGCCUCUGGGUCUGGUUGCUGUCUCUGACUCCGACUACCAGCGGUAGGAAAUGGACCUCACAGAGUAUUCCGCUGAACAAGCUGCUAAUGAUACUUCCCUGUGGACUUCCGCCCACUAUCCAACCGCGCCCGUGGCGGCUGACAAGACUAUCGGGCCUGGCCUGGCGGCGCUUCAGCUGGUUCUGACAGCGACCUUUCAAAGCGUGAGUUAAACACUCCUCUCCUGAAGACAAAAAAAGAGAGUUUUUGGCCAUGGCUGUUAAAUAAUCUUUGAACAGUUGGCUUUCCUGUUAAGAUGAUGCAGGAUUUGGCAAUUUCAUUGGCUCACUCCCAGUUAUACCUAUCUCCAGUGAAGCUCCACAUCCAUAAUUUACAGUAAUAAGGGCAAAGAUUUUUAGGACCAGUUGAUUCUUAUGCAGAGAUAAUACCCAACAUGACAUGGUUCCACUGCCUUAUGGACUCAUACUGGAAAACAAACUGAUUGGAGAAGUUACAAUUCAACACACAAAUGAUACUUGGACAUACCUGGAAAUUCCUUUUUUGGUAUACCUCCAACUUGGGUCAACAAUAGAUCCUUUCAAUCUGUGUAUCCCUUGGAUCUUUCUCCAUGGUCAUUGCGGGUGAUAUAGCUAUUCCUAGCAUAGAUAUUAGGUUUGAAAGCAAGACUAUAUCUCAGACUGAACAGCACUCAGCCAAAUGGUCAUUGUAAACAACAACAGGUCAAGUCAGCUAUUGGAACCACAACAUUGCUUAUCAUCUCAUACAACAGCUACGGAUCCAGCAAGACAUAUUUAAAGUGUGCUCAAGACCAGGAAAUGUGUUCACCUGGACUUACAAAAGGUGGAAAAGACUUGGUACCAUUUAUUUAUUUGUCUUUCUUCCUAAGAUUAAAGUAGCUUUAAAGACAACCAGGCUUAAAAAUAGGACAGCCCAAAUUCAUCCUCAGAACCCAGCAGGGGGCCACUGCUGUGUGCGUGUGUGUGUGUGUCUGUGUCUGUGUAUGUAUGAAUAAUUGACUGGUGUGUGUUCGUGAGACACAGGCCCAAAUUCACCUCAACAUCUGGUUGCAACCCUUUUCACAGCAGAGGGUCAGCAAUUUGCACUUUACCGCUGUUUCUUUUACCGGAUUUGUGGGGAUCCUACAUCCACUUCCUGUCCCCCUAGACUGUUUAUGCUCUACAGCACUUUGUUCGCUCUCCCUCUUGGCCUUUUAUCCACUCUGAUGUGUUGUUUUCAACCAGCAAAAGGCAAGGGUUUGGUAUGCUGUGAAGCCAUCAGCCACUUUUGACUUGCACCAACUUAUUGGCACUUACAGAUCUCUUCAUUGGGUUUACCGGCACAAUCUAAUGAGUUACAACCACGUUAAAAACACGUAGUUAUAUUAAUAUAGCUAGUAUAAUCUUUUCUUUUUUUUAAACUUUUGUUUAUUGGAUUUUUGACACAUACAGUCCAGAAAUACAAUCAAACACAUGUCUUUUUUCUACCCCAAACAAGUAACCCACAAAAAUGGUAUGUAAAAUUAAAUAAAAAUAACAAACUACAAAAAAAACAUGCCACGGUCAAAUAAGUACAGACAACUGCACUCCUGAAUGUCCCUAACACGGUGGAGCAAUACACAAAAGAAGACAAAGGGCUCAUCAAUUUUCUACCUUUCAAAAACUUUUCAAUCGGGGUUAAAACAUUUGAGAUCAGUCUAAUUUACGUAUUUUAGGAAACUACCCCAUACUUCCUGAAACUUCACAGAACCACCGUUUAAUGUCAGCCUAGUUUUCUCCAAUUUAAGGAGGGUCUGGCAAGGCAGCGGUGUUGCCUUCCAAUUUAACACAAUGAGUUUUCUAGCUUACAAAGUAAUGAACGCCACAAGAUUCUAGCACAAAUAGAAGACUUAUGAACUCUACUUAAAAUCUCUGUCCAGAUGUCCUCAGAUAAAGUCACUCCUAAGUCACCCUCCUAAAGUGACUUCAUUGAUUGAUCUGAUUGUACAGAUUCAGGGUGUCAAUAAAAGAUUUGAUUGUAAAUACAAGUUAUUGAUCCUUUUAAAGUCGGAAGUGGUGUCAGAAAAAGCAUCUAAAAACUGUCCGUCGGUAAGUUUGGAAACCUGGGAAAAGUAUUACAAACAAAAUUGCGGAUCUGUAGAUAUCUAUAGGUAUCUAAAAACAGUGUUGAUUAGGAAGUGAAAAUGUAUCACUAAGUUGCUGGAAAGAAGCAAAAGUUUUGUCAAAGUAUAAAUCUUUAAUGUUGUUGAUCCCCAGACUCGACUAUCUUAAAGAGGCAUUAUCAACAAGAGAGGGAGGGAAAGAAUGAUUAGCAGUGAUGGGUGCAAGACUAGAAAUAGUCUGUAAACCAAAAUAGAGCUUAAACUGAACCCAAAUUCUGAACGAGGUUUUAACGAUUGGAUUUUUUGUAAAAGCGGAAGUAGAAGAUUGGAUGUGAGGGUGAACCAAAGCCCUAAGAGAUACUGGUUUAGUUAAGUUAGCCUCCAUAACCAGCCAUAACAAAGGGGGAUCAAGUUCUUCAUAUUGCAGCCGAUAUUUUAGAAUCCUAAUGUUGGUGACCCAGUAAUACAAUCUAAAGUUUGAUAGUGUUAAUUUGGGUCUCUGUAAAGAUUGUUUACGUAACCUGUGAGUCUUUUUGUUCCAAAUGAAGUCUCAAACCUGACUAACUGAGGGAGAACAUGUGGUAUAGACAAACAGGAGUAAUCUCAGAAGUAAGUUCAUUUUAACAGAGUUGAAGCUAACACAAUCGUUACAAAAAACGAAUGUUGUGAUACGGCUGGCAUCAGAAGUGUAGACACUCUUCCUACCCAGCAAGGACUCUGUCUUGCAUAACACAACAAGCUUUAAAAGGGGGGCUUUCAAAAACGGCCAACCUUCACUGUCUCUUCUGCUUCAGUUAAGGACAGAACUUUGUACUCGCACACACUAAAUAAAACACACUAGCAGGCUCGGCGACCUUUCAAGAAAGGAACGCUACUAUCACAACUACUAAAGCUUGGUAAGUCAAAGACUAUUGCCAACUAUUUACUAACCAAUUGCUGCAUCUUUUGUAAACCUGCACCACCUAAAAGUUCCUUCUGAUGAUUAUUUUUAAUAAUGUUGCAACAGUUAUGAACAACAAAUGCCCCACUUUAGAGUAGGAACGGGUAUUGUUUACAUUUCAAAGCGUUUUUUUUGCAACCUUUACGUGGAUGGCGAGAGUGCGCUAACUUUCCAAAGUGUUUCAGGGACUAUAUCCCGCCAAUUUUAACAAGGAAACUUAAAUGGGUACUCAACUCUCCAUGUACUCAACGGUAAUUGUAAUUGUCAUGAUUAUUGCAACAAACGCUGCAACAAUACAAAGCAUGUGCAGAGAAAUGUCUUGCUUGUGUUGUCAUGUUGAUGCUCAUAAUUCAUGUAACACAAAUAGUGAGCACACGUAUAGUAGCACACUUCUUUUUUCAGUCUGAUUACUACCGUUUACCGUAAUGGAACAGAGUUUUGGUACCAAGAGCGAGGAGCGAUAGAUGGCUCUAAGACACAGAAGGUCCCAUGCACUCACCCAAGUAAAUACCAUCCAGAUGGGAGCAUCUCUUCUUGGUCACAUUCAGGUCCACGUAGAAGAGGCCCACCGGGUGUCCAAAGUUCUCCCCUGGGCUGGGGUCCAGCACCAGCACUGCAUCGUGGGCCACAGAGGACUGGUAAGGCGACUGGUACCUGUGGCGACUCUCCCUCCCGUUUGCCCUUGGACCCGCGCUCAAAGCAGCCCGAAACUUGGAGCCCGGAAGCACGCUGGAGGGGGACGAGUCCGGGAGGAUGGCGAGCACUUUGUCGGAGGCUCCUGGAGGAUUAUGGAGAUACCAAAAAACAAUCCUGCUUAGUUCCAGUAUUUGUUGCAUGGAUGAAGACGUCCACAUCUUCCAUGGGAUGCAACAUUCUGUCAAGUCUGUGAACUUUCUAUGAGAUGAUAUAUUGUAGGAAGGAACGGAUUGAAAUCAACAGUAAAUAAUGAGGAAUUUGAAAUUGUUGGUUCAAACAUUUGAAACAUGUUCAGAAGCUUGAAUAUUGAUACGUAUUAAAAACACAGUAACUGUCUGUACUGUCAAAUACUGCUAACAUCCACAAUGUGAACAUGGUCGCGGUAAAACUGUGUUCUACGCACAGUCGAGUGCCUGCAAAACUUUGGUGUCAAAACAAUGGCACGCCUAAAACACACUCUGUGCACUGUGCUUACUAAGACUCUGAGCAUUUGCGCAUACUCUGUUUGAGCUCGGACUCUGUGCACUGCGUUAGCGCAAACAGAGUCUAGCGAGUGCAAACAGUCCUUGCAAGUGCAAACAGAGUCUA
Long non-coding RNA from Entelurus aequoreus (snake pipefish), 4885 nucleotides. RefSeq lists it as uncharacterized. Lineage: Eukaryota; Metazoa; Chordata; Actinopteri; Syngnathiformes; Syngnathidae. The record is from RefSeq and is a predicted model, not a curated record. The transcript has 4 exons.